CAAAGUGUAGCUUAACCAAAGCCUCUCGCUUACACC
Molecule: transfer RNA, 36 nt
Filed under: Ololygon sp. KAV8
Lineage: Eukaryota; Metazoa; Chordata; Amphibia; Anura; Hylidae
Description: partial tRNA-Val
Source: RNAcentral